GUGAACGCUGGCGGUAGGCCUAACACAUGCAAGUCGAACGGCAGCACAGUAAGAGCUUGCUCUUACGGGUGGCGAGUGGCGGACGGGUGAGGAAUACAUCGGAAUCUACAUUUUCGUGGGGGAUAACGUAGGGAAACUUACGCUAAUACCGCAUACGACCUACGGGUGAAAGCAGGGGAUCUUCGGACCUUGCGCGAUUGAAUGAGCCGAUGUCGGAUUAGCUAGUUGGCGGGGUAAAGGCCCACCAAGGCGACGAUCCGUAGCUGGUCUGAGAGGAUGAUCAGCCACACUGGAACUGAGACACGGUCCAGACUCCUACGGGAGGCAGCAGUGGGGAAUAUUGGACAAUGGGCGCAAGCCUGAUCCAGCCAUACCGCGUGGGUGAAGAAGGCCUUCGGGUUGUAAAGCCCUUUUGUUGGGAAAGAAAAGCAGCAGGUUAAUACCCCGCUGUUCUGACGGUACCCAAAGAAUAAGCACCGGCUAACUUCGUG
This 491-nucleotide ribosomal RNA is filed under the name uncultured bacterium. RNAcentral describes it as "partial 16S ribosomal RNA". It matches the Rfam family "Bacterial small subunit ribosomal RNA", at positions 29 to 507 of the family's 1533-position model. The record is from RNAcentral.